Molecule: ribosomal RNA, 487 nt
Filed under: uncultured bacterium
Lineage: Bacteria
Description: bacterial SSU rRNA
Rfam family: Bacterial small subunit ribosomal RNA
Source: RNAcentral
AGAGUUUGAUCCUGGCUCAGGAUGAACGCUAGCUACAGGCUUAACACAUGCAAGUCGAGGGGUAACAUUGGCGGAGCUUGCUCUGUCAGAUGACGACCGGCGCACGGGUGAGUAACGCGUAUCCAACCUGCCCAUGGGUCAGGGAUAAACUCCCGAAAGGGAGCCUAAUACCUGAUGUUGUGAGAAGAAGGCCUCUGAUUUUCACGAAAGACUUCGGUCGCCGAUGGAUGGGGAUGCGUACGAUUAGGCAGCAGGCGGGGUAACGGCCCACCUGGCCAACGAUCGUUAGGGGUUCUGAGAGGAAGGUCCCCCACACUGGUACUGAGACACGGACCAGACUCCUACGGGAGGCAGCAGUGAGGAAUAUUGGUCAAUGGGCGGAAGCCUGAACCAGCCAAGUAGCGUGCAGGACGACUGCCCUAUGGGUUGUAAACUGCUUUUAUGCGGGGAUAAAGUGGGCCACGCGUGGCUUAUUGCAGUACCGCAU